Molecule: ribosomal RNA, 484 nt
Filed under: uncultured bacterium
Lineage: Bacteria
Description: partial 16S ribosomal RNA
Rfam family: Bacterial small subunit ribosomal RNA
Source: RNAcentral
AUUGAACGCUGGCGGCAGGCCUAACACAUGCAAGUCGAGCGGAUGAAGGGAGCUUGCUCCUGGAUUCAGCGGCGGACGGGUGAGUAAUGCCUAGGAAUCUGCCUGGUAGUGGGGGAUAACGUCUGGAAACGGGCGCUAAUACCGCAUACGUCCUGAGGGAGAAAGUGGGGGAUCCUCGGACCUCACGCUAUCAGAUGAGCCUAGGUCGGAUUAGCUAGUUGGUGGGGUAAAGGCCUACCAAGGCGACGAUCCGUAACUGGUCUGAGAGGAUGAUCAGUCACACUGGAACUGAGACACGGUCCAGACUCCUACGGGAGGCAGCAGUGGGGAAUAUUGGACAAUGGGCGAAAGCCUGAUCCAGCCAUGCCGCGUGUGUGAAGAAGGUCUUCGGAUUGUAAAGCACUUUAAGUUGGGAGGAAGGGCAGUAAGUUAAUACCUUGCUGUUUUGACGUUACCAACAGAAUAAGCACCGGCUAACUUCGUG